Non-coding RNA from Crucibulum laeve, 107 nucleotides. The record is from the annotation of a GenBank genome assembly. Lineage: Eukaryota; Fungi; Basidiomycota; Agaricomycetes; Agaricales; Nidulariaceae.
GGCCUGAUGGUCUAGUAGUAUGAUUCCUCGUUCGGGAGCUUUCAAUUCUCCAGCGCCUUCUGGUGCUUAAAUCGAGGAGGUCCCGGGUUCAAUUCCCGGUCAGGCCC